RNAcentral lists this ribosomal RNA (1287 nucleotides) under metagenome. RNAcentral describes it as "bacterial SSU rRNA". It matches the Rfam family "Bacterial small subunit ribosomal RNA", at positions 242 to 1520 of the family's 1533-position model. The record is from RNAcentral.
UAGCUAGUUGGUGAGGUAAAGGCUUACCAAGGCGACGAUCUGUAGCGGGUCUGAGAGGAUGAUCCGCCACACUGGAACUGAGACACGGUCCAGACUCCUACGGGAGGCAGCAGUGGGGAAUUUUGGACAAUGGGGGCAACCCUGAUCCAGCCAUGCCGCGUGAGUGAAGAAGGCCUUCGGGUUGUAAAGCUCUUUCGGCCGGGAAGAAAUCGCAUGGGCCAAUACCCUGUGUGGAUGACGGUACCGGAAUAAGAAGCACCGGCUAACUACGUGCCAGCAGCCGCGGUAAUACGUAGGGUGCGAGCGUUAAUCGGAAUUACUGGGCGUAAAGCGUGCGCAGGCGGUUUUGUAAGACAGGCGUGAAAUCCCCGGGCUUAACCUGGGAACUGCGUUUGUGACUGCAAGGCUAGAGUACGGCAGAGGGGGGUGGAAUUCCACGUGUAGCAGUGAAAUGCGUAGAGAUGUGGAGGAACACCAAUGGCGAAGGCAGCCCCCUGGGUCGAUACUGACGCUCAUGCACGAAAGCGUGGGUAGCAAACAGGAUUAGAUACCCUGGUAGUCCACGCCCUAAACUAUGUCAACUAGGUGUUGGGUGGGUAAAACCAUUUAGUACCGUAGCUAACGCGUGAAGUUGACCGCCUGGGGAGUACGGCCGCAAGGUUAAAACUCAAAGGAAUUGACGGGGACCCGCACAAGCGGUGGAUGAUGUGGAUUAAUUCGAUGCAACGCGAAAAACCUUACCUACCCUUGACAUGCCAGGAACUUGCCAGAGAUGGCUUGGUGCCCGAAAGGGAGCCUGGACACAGGUGCUGCAUGGCUGUCGUCAGCUCGUGUCGUGAGAUGUUGGGUUAAGUCCCGCAACGAGCGCAACCCUUGUCGUUAAUUGCCAUCAUUUAGUUGGGCACUUUAACGAGACUGCCGGUGACAAACCGGAGGAAGGUGGGGAUGACGUCAAGUCCUCAUGGCCCUCAUGGGUAGGGCUUCACACGUCAUACAAUGGUCGGUACAAAGGGUUGCCAAGCCGCGAGGCGGAGCCAAUCCCAGAAAGCCGAUCGUAGUCCGGAUUGCAGGCUGCAACUCGCCUGCAUGAAGUCGGAAUCGCUAGUAAUCGUGGAUCAGCAUGUCACGGUGAAUACGUUCCCGGGUCUUGUACACACCGCCCGUCACACCAUGGGAGCGGGUUCCGCCAGAAGUAGGUAGCCUAACCGCAAGGGGGGCGCUUACCACGGCGGGGUUCGUGACUGGGGUGAAGUCGGAACAAGGUAGCCGUAGGGGAACCUGCGGCUG